GCCUGGGUGGCGGAACUGGCAGACGCACAGGACUUAAAAUCCUGCGGUGAGUGAUCACCGUACCGGUUCGAUUCCGGUCCUCGGCACCA
RNAcentral lists this transfer RNA (89 nucleotides) under Staphylococcus aureus. RNAcentral describes it as "tRNA-Leu". It matches the Rfam family "tRNA". From Rfam's summary of the family: Transfer RNA (tRNA) molecules are approximately 80 nucleotides in length. Their secondary structure includes four short double-helical elements and three loops (D, anti-codon, and T loops). The record is from RNAcentral. Lineage: Bacteria; Bacillati; Bacillota; Bacilli; Caryophanales; Staphylococcaceae.